ACGUUAGCGGCGGACGGGUGAGUAACACGUGGGUAACCUACCUAUAAGACUGGGAUAACUUCGGGAAACCGGAGCUAAUACCGGAUAAUAUUUCGAACCGCAUGGUUCGAUAGUGAAAGAUGGUUUUGCUAUCACUUAUAGAUGGACCCGCGACGUAUUAGCUAGUUGGUAAGGUAACGGCUUACCAAGGCGACGAUACGUAGCCGACCUGAGAGGGUGAUCGGCCACACUGGAACUGAGACACGGCCCAGACUCCUACGGGAGGCAGCAGCC
This 273-nucleotide ribosomal RNA is filed under the name uncultured Staphylococcus sp. RNAcentral's name for it is "partial 16S ribosomal RNA". It matches the Rfam family "Bacterial small subunit ribosomal RNA", at positions 89 to 355 of the family's 1533-position model. The record is from RNAcentral. Lineage: Bacteria; Bacillati; Bacillota; Bacilli; Caryophanales; Staphylococcaceae.